This 315-nucleotide unclassified non-coding RNA is filed under the name Hevea brasiliensis (rubber tree). The record is from RNAcentral. Lineage: Eukaryota; Viridiplantae; Streptophyta; Magnoliopsida; Malpighiales; Euphorbiaceae.
GCUUAAUCCUCAUAAAUUUUUCUUGAGCAUUUUGCUCUUUGUUAACAUCGGGAUGAUACUUGAGAGCAAGUUUGCGAUAUGCCUUUUUGAUUUCAUCGGCGGUCGCUGAUGAAGAUACCCCUAAAACUUCAUACGGAGACUCUUUUCGACUUGCCUUAACCAAUAUAUGUUUGUAUUUUUUUCCUCUUCUUCCAAUAAUAGCUACCUAGACUAUUCGAGAAGCACAUUCGUCUAGGUAUCGCAAAGCUUCCAUACUCAAUUCUGCAAACAAAUCUUGAAGUUAACUCUCUUAGGUUUUGAGGAAAAUGAAAAUUG